Long non-coding RNA from Rhipicephalus sanguineus (brown dog tick), 395 nucleotides. RefSeq lists it as uncharacterized. The record is from RefSeq and is a predicted model, not a curated record. The transcript has 3 exons. NCBI's taxonomy places the organism in Eukaryota, Metazoa, Arthropoda, Arachnida, Ixodida, Ixodidae.
UCGAAGGAAUGUACUACGGGCGCUCGUAGGACUCCGCAGCAUGUUCGCAGCUGAUGGCUGACGCCCGUGGCUACCGACACGAGACCGGCUACCGACUGCGUGACAGUAUGAAAGGUCGAUCUUGGCCCACGACUGUAAAUGGAAAACCAAAAGUGGCGGUGGCGGUUUUCUCUGUCAGAGAAACAGCAAAAGUACUAUCGCACAACGAAACAUUGCACAACUGAAGCAUCGCCUGUGCCUCAUGCUGCUGUUUCAUCAAAGAUCAAGGUCAUCGCCCUUGGAGGGACUUUAUGCAUGGCAGUAUGGUUCGAGUUCCACACGGAGAAUCCUGAAGCUAAUUCUUCCAAGGCAGAGCGGGGCAUGCUGAAAGUUAUCAGAAGGCCGAAAGAAUAAAU